CUUCAGGUCUAGAUUAGAAAAUUAAAUGGAUCCUUAUGGAGGCCUGGUGUGCAAUGGCUGCAAACAUCAGCCUCAUGGGUAGUGUAUGGAGCCUGUUGUUUGUAUGGAUUGCUCUAAGGGACCUUGCAGACAGUC
Otolemur garnettii (small-eared galago) is the source of this 135-nucleotide small nucleolar RNA. Its record names the gene SNORA70. It matches the Rfam family "Small nucleolar RNA SNORA70". From Rfam's summary of the family: snoRNA U70 seems to be exclusive to mammals and is a member of the H/ACA class of snoRNA which contain H (ANANNA) and ACA box motifs. H/ACA box snoRNAs are involved in the conversion of uridines to pseudouridines (5-ribosyluracil) a constituent of structural RNAs (transfer, ribosomal, small nuclear, and small nucleolar). NCBI's taxonomy places the organism in Eukaryota, Metazoa, Chordata, Mammalia, Primates, Galagidae. The record is from Ensembl.